RNAcentral lists this non-coding RNA (26 nucleotides) under Mus musculus (house mouse). Lineage: Eukaryota; Metazoa; Chordata; Mammalia; Rodentia; Muridae. The record is from RNAcentral.
UGAGAGACUGGGGAUACAAGAUGGUG